This 468-nucleotide ribosomal RNA is filed under the name uncultured bacterium. Its description in RNAcentral is "partial 16S ribosomal RNA". It matches the Rfam family "Bacterial small subunit ribosomal RNA", at positions 28 to 507 of the family's 1533-position model. The record is from RNAcentral.
GAUGAACGCUGGCGGCGUGCUUAAUACAUGCAAGUCGAGCGGACAGGCGAUGAGUUUGCUCCGUGGACGUGUGGCGAGGGGGUGAGUGACACGUGUGUAUCACCUCCCUGUCUUUCUGGUAUCUUCUCGAGAAUGGGGAUAAUAUCGGGUAUGAUAUCUUGAAGCACGGUGGGCAUUGGUAAGUUACGGCGGUUGUGGAUGGACUCGAGGCUUAUCCGCUUCAUGGUGGGGUAGUGGCGUACCAGGCUUUUGACGGCUAGCCGGCCUGAGAGGGUGACCGGCCACAAUGGUACUGAGAGACGGCCCAGACUCCUACGGGAGGCAGCGGGGGGGAAUAUUGCACAAUGGGCGGAAGCCUGAUGCAGCAACGCCGCGUGCGGGAUGACGUCCUUCGGGUGAUAAACCGCUUUCGCCUGAGACGAAGCGUGAGUGACGGUAAUGGGUAAAGAAGCACCGGCUAACUACGUG